This 730-nucleotide ribosomal RNA is filed under the name Odobenus rosmarus rosmarus (Atlantic walrus). Its description in RNAcentral is "partial 16S ribosomal RNA". It matches the Rfam family "Bacterial large subunit ribosomal RNA", at positions 1816 to 2853 of the family's 2925-position model. The record is from RNAcentral. Lineage: Eukaryota; Metazoa; Chordata; Mammalia; Carnivora; Odobenidae.
CACCUCUAGCAUUACUAGUAUUAGAGGCACUGCCUGCCCAGUGACACGAGUUAAACGGCCGCGGUAUUCUGACCGUGCAAAGGUAGCAUAAUCAUUUGUUCUAUAAAUAAGGACUUGUAUGAAUGGCCACACGAGGGUUCUACUGUCUCUUACUUCCAAUCGGUGAAAUUGACCUUCCCGUGAAGAGGCGGGAAUAUAACAAUAAGACGAGAAGACCCUAUGGAGCUUUAAUUAACUAACCCAAUAGAAUUUAUUCAAUUAACCAAUAUGGGACAAAGUAAUUCUACAGUGGGACAGCAAUUUAGGUUGGGGCGACCUCGGAGUAUAGCACAACCCCCGAGUGAUAUAAAUCUAGACAUACCUGUCAAAACGAACUAUCAUAAAUUGAUCCAAAAAUUUUUGAUCAACGGAACAAGUUACCCUAGGGAUAACAGCGCAAUCCUAUUCAAGAGUUCAUAUCGACAAUAGGGUUUACGACCUCGAUGUUGGAUCAGGACAUCCCAAUGGUGCAGCAGCUAUUAAAGGUUCGUUUGUUCAACGAUUAAAGUCCUACGUGAUCUGAGUUCAGACCGGAGUAAUCCAGGUCGGUUUCUAUCUAUUAACCAAUCUCUCCCAGUACGAAAGGACAAGAGAGACAAGGCCCACUUCGACGAAGCGCCUUAGGACUAAUAUAUGACAUAAUCUUAAUAUAACCAGUUCAACUACACUAUUCAACCCGAGAACAGGGUUU